GACGAACGCUGGCGGCGUGCUUAACACAUGCAAGUCGAACGGUAAGGCCCUUCGGGGUACACGAGUGGCGAACGGGUGAGUAACACGUGGGUGAUCUGCCCUGCACUUCGGGAUAAGCCUGGGAAACUGGGUCUAAUACCGGAUAGGACUCCUGCCUGCAUGGGUGGGGGUGGAAAGCUUUUGUGGUGUGGGAUGGGCCCGCGGCCUAUCAGCUUGUUGGUGGGGUGAUGGACUACCAAGGGGACGACGGGUAGCCGGCCUGAGAGGGUGACCGGCCACACUGGGACGGAGAUACGGCCCAGACUCCUACGGGAGGCAGCAGUGGGGAAUAUUGCACAAUGGGCGCAAGCCUGAUGCAGCGACGCCGCGUGAGGGAUGACGGCCUUCGGGUUGUAAACCUCUUUCAGCACAGACGAAGCGCAAGUGACGGUAUGUGCAGAAGAAGGACCGGCCAACUACGUGCCAGCCGCCGCGGUAA
This 478-nucleotide ribosomal RNA is filed under the name uncultured bacterium. RNAcentral describes it as "partial 16S ribosomal RNA". It matches the Rfam family "Bacterial small subunit ribosomal RNA", at positions 28 to 523 of the family's 1533-position model. The record is from RNAcentral.